GCAUUUAGCUCAGUGGUCGAGCGUGGGCUUUGGAAGCCACAGGUCGGUGGUUAGAACCCACCUGGGCA
Molecule: transfer RNA, 68 nt
Filed under: Phytophthora infestans T30-4
Lineage: Eukaryota; Oomycota; Peronosporomycetes; Peronosporales; Peronosporaceae
Description: tRNA-Pro for anticodon UGG
Rfam family: tRNA (bases 6-62)
About the family: Transfer RNA (tRNA) molecules are approximately 80 nucleotides in length. Their secondary structure includes four short double-helical elements and three loops (D, anti-codon, and T loops).
Source: RNAcentral